This 503-nucleotide ribosomal RNA is filed under the name uncultured bacterium. RNAcentral describes it as "bacterial SSU rRNA". It matches the Rfam family "Bacterial small subunit ribosomal RNA", at positions 28 to 511 of the family's 1533-position model. The record is from RNAcentral.
GACGAACGCUGGCGGCAUGCCUAACACAUGCAAGUCGAACGGAGAAUUCCUUCGGGAAUUCUUAGUGGCGAACGGGUGAGUAACGCGUAGGCAACCUGCCCUUUGGAUGGGGGACAACAUUCCGAAAGGAGUGCUAAUACCGAAUGUGACGAUUUUACCGCAUGGUUUAAUCGUGAAAGAUGGCCUCUACAUGUAAGCUAUCGCCAAAGGAUGGGCCCGCGUCUGAUUAGCUAGUUGGUGGGGUAACGGCUCACCAAGGCGACGAUCAGUAGCCGGUCUGAGAGGAUGAACGGCCACAUUGGGACUGAGACACGGCCCAGACUCCUACGGGAGGCAGCAGUGGGGAAUCUUCCGCAAUGGACGAAAGUCUGACGGAGCAAUGCCGCGUGAGUGAUGAAGGUCUUUGGAUUGUAAAACUCUGUUGUAUGGAAAAAAUGGCUAGGUUAGGAAAUGAACUUAGUUUGAUGGUACCAUACCAGAAAGCCCGGCUAACUACGUGCCAG